Molecule: ribosomal RNA, 253 nt
Filed under: uncultured bacterium
Lineage: Bacteria
Description: partial 16S ribosomal RNA
Rfam family: Bacterial small subunit ribosomal RNA
Source: RNAcentral
UACGAAGGUGGCAAGCGUUGUUCGGAUUUACUGGGCGUACAGGGAGCGUAGGCGGUUGGAUAAGCCCUCCGUGAAAUCACCAGGCUUAACCUGGAAAGUGCAGAGGGGACUGUUCAGCUAGAGGACCGGAGAGGAUAGUGGAAUUCCCAGUGUAGUGGUGAAAUACGUAGAGAUUGGGAAGAACACCAGUGGCGAAGGCGGCUAUCUGGACGGUUUCUGACGCUAAGACGCGAAAGCGUGGGGAGCAAACAGG